This 1318-nucleotide ribosomal RNA is filed under the name Magnaosimum brooksae. RNAcentral describes it as "eukaryotic LSU rRNA". It matches the Rfam family "Eukaryotic large subunit ribosomal RNA", at positions 34 to 955 of the family's 3401-position model. The record is from RNAcentral. Lineage: Eukaryota; Metazoa; Platyhelminthes; Trematoda; Plagiorchiida; Opecoelidae.
UUAAGCAUAUCACUAAGCGGAGGAAAAGAAACUAACAAGGAUUCCCUUAGUAACGGCGAGUGAACAGGGAAAAGCCCAGCACCGAAGCCUAUGGUCAAUUGGCCAUCAGGCAAUGUGGUGUUCAGGUCAUUCCGCAGACGCACUGCUCCAUCCUAAGUCCAACAAUGAGUACGGUAGUACGGACAUGGCCCAUUGAGGGUGAAAGGCCCGUGGGGGUGGAGACCAGGCUUGACAGUGCUACUCUGGGAGGACCUUGGAGUCGGGUUGUUUGUGAAUGCAGCCCAAAGUGGGUGGUAAACUCCAUCCAAGGCUAAAUACAAGCACGAGUCCGAUAGCGAACAAGUACCGUGAGGGAAAGUUGAAAAGUACUCUGAAGAGAGAGUAAACAGUGCGUGAAGCCGCUCAGAGGUAAACGGGUGGAGUUGAACUGUGAGUUCCGAGGGUUCAGCUGGUGACUUUGAUUGGGCUUGGCCAAGUUGGUCGGGCACUGGGGUCUGUUUAGCUGCAGGUCUCUACCUUCGGGUAGGGAUGCGCGAUGCACUCGUUGAGUGUUGUGCGCUCCAGUGCUUCCGGAUCGGGUCGCCAGUGCACUCCCUCGGGACGGUCACCACGACCGGCACUGCCGUCUGUCUGUUGCGGUUAAACCGGCCGUGCAUUGUCCUUGUGGCUUUGUGCGGUCGGGAUGGCAGGUAGCUCGUUGGUUUGCUCGCAGACCUUCGGGUGUAAUCAGCUGACUGUAAUUUGACUGUGCGGUGUGUCGGGGACGGCGGCUUGAGGUGUGUGCGUGCGUGCUAGUCCUGCUGGCGUGUCCGUGUUUGGUUGCUCAGUUGCUCACAUAGUGGGCCAAGCGGCGACUGGGACGCGUGCGGUGGGCGGCUGCGUACGUGGCACUAUUCUUGGGCCUAUAGUCUGUGGUGUUGCGGUAGACUAUCCACCCGACCCGUCUUGAAACACGGACCAAGGAGAGUAACAUGUGCGCGAGUCAUUGGGCGUAACGAAACCCAAAGGCGCAGUGAAAGUGAAGGCUUGGCUUGUCCAGGCUGAGGUGAGAUCCUGUCGUUUCUUAUGCGUGGUACCACCAAGCAUCGAGCGGCAGGCGCAUCACCGGCCCGUCCCAUGGCCUUGGCAGUUGAAUAUACAGUACAGUCGGGGCGGAGCAAGAGCGUACAUGUUGAGACCCGAAAGAUGGUGAACUAUGCUUGUGCAGAUUGAAGCCAGAGGAAACUCUGGUGGAGGAUCGCAGCGAUUCUGACGUGCAAAUCGAUCGUCAGACAUGAGUAUAGGGGCGAAAGACUAAUCGAACCAUCUGGUAGCUGGU